AACCUGCCCUUCAGAGGGGGACGAACAGUUGGAAACGACUGCUAAUACCGCAUACGAUCUAAACUCGGCAUCGAGGAUGGAUGAAAGGUGGCCUCUAUUUAUAAGCUAUCACUGAAGGAGGGGAUUGCGUCUGAUUAGCUAGUUGGAGGGGUAACGGCCCACCAAGGCGAUGAUCAGUAGCCGGUCUGAGAGGAUGAACGGCCACAUUGGGACUGAGACACGGCCCAGACUCCUACGGGAGGCAGCAUG
RNAcentral lists this ribosomal RNA (249 nucleotides) under uncultured bacterium. Its description in RNAcentral is "partial 16S ribosomal RNA". It matches the Rfam family "Bacterial small subunit ribosomal RNA", at positions 123 to 353 of the family's 1533-position model. The record is from RNAcentral.